CGUAACAAGGUUUCCGUAGGUGAACCUGCGGAAGGAUCAUUGUUAAAUCCCAAAAAACAAAAACAACCUGAGAAUAUGUUCAAUAACAUGCAUCGGGUGUGGGGGUAAAACCUCUUUGUCCGUUGCUCUUUGUUCAACCAAUCGUUGGUUGUGUUGGGCAAAAAUAAAACAAAAAUCGGCACGGGAAGUGCCAAGGGCUUAUGAAAUGGGAUGCNUUUGUCGUGGAGGGGGGACCGUUUACGGAAUCCCUUUACCACGGUUCUCAAAAGGUCUCCGCAAAAGAAACCUUAUACGACUCUCGACAACGGAUAUCUAGGCUCUCGCAUCGAUGAAGAACGUAGCAAAAUGCGAUACUUGGUGUGAAUUGCAGAAUCCCGUGAAUCAUCGAGUUUUUGAACGCAAGUUGCGCCCGAAGUCAUUAGGCCGAGGGCACGUCUGCCUGGGUGUCACGCAUCGCGUCGCCUCCCACAUAAAAAUAUGGGGGGGCGGAUUAUGGCUUCCCGUGCUCUGAUGCGGCUAGCCUAAAAGAUUGCUCGCCCGCCGCGCACAUUGCGACAAGUGGUGGUCGAUUUUAUUGAACGCAAAUUGUCGUGCAAAUGUCGCGUCGAGAAGGGCGCUUGGAUCCUUAUGUGCAUUAGUCCCUCACUGAGGGAUGAUUGCCCACGACCGCGACCCCAGGUCAGGCGGGGUUACCCGCUGAGUUUAAGCAUAUCAAUAA
Molecule: ribosomal RNA, 718 nt
Filed under: Vitis palmata
Lineage: Eukaryota; Viridiplantae; Streptophyta; Magnoliopsida; Vitales; Vitaceae
Also listed under: 1 other name
Description: eukaryotic LSU rRNA
Rfam family: 5.8S ribosomal RNA (bases 294-449)
Source: RNAcentral